Molecule: ribosomal RNA, 449 nt
Filed under: uncultured bacterium
Lineage: Bacteria
Description: partial 16S ribosomal RNA
Rfam family: Bacterial small subunit ribosomal RNA
Source: RNAcentral
GUGGGGAAUUUUGGACAAUGGGCGAAAGCCUGAUCCAGCCAUGCCGCGUGCAGGAUGAAGGCCUUCGGGUUGUAAACUGCUUUUGUACGGAACGAAAAGACUCCUUCUAAUAAAGGGGGUCCAUGACGGUACCGUAAGAAUAAGCACCGGCUAACUACGUGCCAGUAGCCGCGGUAAUACGUAGGGUGCAAGCGUUAUCGGAAUUACUGGGCGUAAAGCGUGCGCAGGCGGUUAUAUAAGACAGAUGUGAAAUCCCCGGGCUCAACCUGGGAACUGCAUUUGUGACUGUAUAGCUAGAGUACGGUAGAGGGGGAUGGAAUUCCGCGUGUAGCAGUGAAAUGCGUAGAUAUGCGGAGGAACACCGAUGGCGAAGGCAAUCCCCUGGACCUGUACUGACGCUCAUGCACGAAAGCGUGGGGAGCAAACAGGAUUAGAAACCCGAGUAGUCC